Pelobates cultripes (western spadefoot toad) is the source of this 797-nucleotide non-coding RNA. The record is from the annotation of a GenBank genome assembly. Lineage: Eukaryota; Metazoa; Chordata; Amphibia; Anura; Pelobatidae.
GCCAGCUUUCCUGCAGCUCCAUGCUUUACUUUCUUCCCUGCACUCUCAAAAAAGCUCCCCUGGCUCUGUGCUUUAAGUCCCUCCCUUUUCCACCUGCUGAAAGUUCUCUACUGUGGUCUCAUCCAGGCAGGAACUAUACAACAGUCAGGUAGGUUCGUCUAAAAUGCUGCAAAUAUAACAUAGAAAUUGAACUAAACUGUUAAGUAGUGUUCUCAAAUAGUAAUGUCUUACCUUUAGCAUUAAAGUUCUUGCUAGCUACAGUUCCCAUGAACCUAGCCAGCCUUCAACUGGCUAUGUGUCUUGAGUAAUAUAAUGUACUUGAACAUUUUAUUGUAAGACAUAAGUUCAAUUUAAAGAGCAGGAGAUAAAAACUUAAAAAAGUAAGUUAAGGUCUGAUUGAAUUUUUUUUUAAUGCAGGCUGUGUGAGUUACAACCAAGGAAGGUGUGGCUAGGGCUGCAUAAAUAAGACCAAAGUAAAUUAACUUCUAAAUGGAAAAUAAUUGAGCAGUAAAACUGCAUGAGCAUAAUCUACACACUAUAACUGCUUCAUUCAGCUAAAUUGUUUAGAUUCAUAUAGUGUCCCUUAAAGCUGAAGUUGUUUUGGUGCCAAUAGUAUCUCAUUAGGUGGGCAAAGUCCAAAAGAUUAGGGCCAAAUUUUAUAGAGAGGGGCAGGAUUAAAUUACAGUGGUUUAGCCUAGUGCCCAAUAUGACACAUUCAUCAGGCCGCCAAUGCUGGGAACCAAGUCAAUCACCAUCUGAACAACAAAAAAAAUCACUACAACAUAGAAUGGUGAAAC